UAUCAUACCAUCAUAUCAUAAUAUACUAAAAGGUGAAAGAGGAAAAGAAUUCUGCAAGCACACCUCGUGAGAAUUGUUGAAUCUGUGCUCCUCCAAAUCACUAUUUAACUCAAAAUCUGAAGCUACUUCGACAGAUGAAUCCGCUUCGGCACAAUCUUUCUUGGAGCAAGUACUACAUCUUGAACUUUGCCAUUUUUUUUCCAGCUCAAAAUAUCUCAUCUUUUCCUGCCUAAUUUCUUCUCGAAGAAUUUGAUUUUCAUUCUCUGCACUCUUAUUUUAAAACCAACAUCAAAAAAAUAUCUUUAUUAUGUUCAGGUUCAGCUGAUAUCAAAUUGAUGUUUUCCAUAUGAAAGCAAAAGUUCAGAAACAGUACAAUAAUGAAAUUAUAGACUUGAAACAAAUCAAAUACCUCUAAAUAAAAAUGAUUACCUUUAGUUUAUCUCUAUACUGCUUCAAGGUUUUCCAUAUGGCUUUAGAAAAAUUUUGCAUAAUCAAAUGGUUUCUUUCAAUCCCAGCCAAUUCUGUACGGCUAGACUUUGUGGCUUUACCUUUGGGAUGACCGGAAAGUUCUGAUAGAGAUUUUUAAAAAAAUGCAAUUAAUAAGCUGAACCAAACCAGCAGCUCUGAAACAAGCUAGACAACUAACACAACUGACAGAAAAAAUGAAAUAGAUCACCGAUAAAGCUGGAAUUUAACAACCUUCAUGAGCAAGCAGGUUUUCCUUGGGAUGUCUCUUUCCUUCAUUCUGAAACCAUAGAUUGUCGACCAAGACAAUAAGUACUCAGUAAUAAGAUGUGAACAAAACUUGCAGUGCAACAUUUCAAAUAUGCAGUGGGAGACAAAGCAAAGCUAACUUGUUGUUGCUAUGUCCCGUUUAUUACUAACGUUUACAUUCUUUUUCAUUUUUAUCUAUCAAAGGUCUCAAUAGAUAUAAAUAAAAAGAAAAGGCGGCAUUGUGAUGUUCCAAAUGACAUGGCAGCCAAAGAAACAAAUAACUGCUGUCUAAAAAAAUAUAGAACGCGUAAAUACUAAAGAUAGAGCAGAAACAUUUUGAUUGAACGGCAGCUAUUAAAGAACCAGUAAAGGGAAAAAAACAACAGAGGGAAGUGAUAUCAAGAAAAUAUCACUCAUUUAAGACAAUCUCAACAUCCAAAAAAGAUAAGCAAAUUACCACACAUGCUUCAGGAGCACUAUAUUUUGUUCUUUUCUGCUCCUCAAAUGUACAUAACGUUUGCAAUUGUCUCUUGUUGGUGUUGGAUGGUUCCACGACAUUGUUGAACCUAAAGAAAAAGACAUCAAUUCAGAAUCACACGUAAAAGAAGUUCUAAGCUUAAACAAAUAGAAUAAAGGUAAGUAACUUGAUUUUCAUAUAAGGUGAAGCUUGUCUGAGAAGGAAAGUUGUAUCAAGAUAAUCUUCUUCUCCUGCUUUCACAGUUAAAAUCUACACAUAAAACAAAAAAAAAAGUAUUGAUAAAGAAAUACGGAGGCUCGCUCUUCAUUAAGCACACCCACUAGCUUUCACAAGAGAUUAACAACAUUAACAGUGCCCAACAAAGUUAACAAUAACCAUUGUUCAAAGCAAAGAUGCAAAUAAGGAAAGUUUAAGAUGCUGUAUGUAGAUCUGUUCCACAAAUCAAAUAUUGAAAUAAGAACAGAAUACCAAGGUCAUUCGCUUCUUUCCUUCCAGGUAAUCUCGAAGGUACUUGGUCAACUGUGUGGAAAUAAAAUAAACUGUCAGUUAUGCUAGAGAAAAUAAUUACCAGAAAAACAGAAAGAUAAAUAGCAAUUUUUGUUUUGCAAUACUUGAUUGGGAACAUGGUUUUAGAAUGAGGAAUACUCUUGAAACAUUACCAAAGAGUUCUGGAAAUGCUUCUGCAGUGGCUUCUUUGGAUUCCUUUGGUGUUCAAACAAUGACUAAAAAUGAAACAAGGAUACGUUAUCGGUAAAUAUUUUAUAAAAAAUAUAUGAAACAGGGGAACAAACCAAAAAACGGGUUAAAACAUCCAAGCUGUGAAGAUCUCAAAACCUCAUGAGACAAACAUAGAACCCAUCAGUUCUCUAUUCAUAAAACACAAUAGGGCCAUUCAAAACGCAACAUCGUGAUCUCAAGCCAGCUUAGAAAACUGUAAAUGUACUCUCUUUUAACCCUAACUGGACCUUGGAUUUGUUCCCUAAGGCCUAAAGUUUAUUUACGUUGUCACAUACCUCAAUGCCUGAAUACAAGAUGUAUAUCCCAUUUGAACUAAUUGCAUAUAGAAAAUAUAAAAUACCUUUUAGCAUUUGGAGGAAGAGAUAAGGGAUUCACACAAGUAAGGACACGUACUCUUAGGCACAAGCCAAAAACCAUUGAUGUAUUAUUGAUGAAGUUAGCUUCAAGUAAUCUUGUACCCUGCAAAAUAUAUGCCUUAAGAUGAAAGGUAAAUUAUAAGGUUCCUAUCAUCUUCUUUUAUUUCUCAACCUUUGAAAAUACAGAUCAGACGAAUAGAAUAAUACAAAUAUUUCCUUCUAAGAAGAAUCAUCUUGUUUUAUUCUAACAAGAAACGUCUUAUUUCAUUAAUAUUUCCUUCUAACAAGAAUUGUCAAAUUUUAUACAUUUUAAACUAGCAUAUUAUCAUUUUUUAAUUCAAGAAUCAUCUUAUAUUGUUGCCAGACUUAUUAUCUAUUGGACUACUAAGUUCUACAACUACAAUAUGAAAUGAAAAAAUGACAAUCACUAUUAAAUUAAAGGUGAAAUGCAGAACCUAAAUCCAGACACCAAAAAAAUAUAGGACCUGAUUCCCGGUUCUUUUUUCUUUUUCAGCUCCAGCAAGAUCAGCAAUGGUCAAGAUGGCACAGUUCGAAGCAUCUUCAACUUCUUCUUGGUUAGCAACUCUACGCACAUUAAUGAUGCAUUGGGACCGGCUGCAAGGAUAAACAACAAAAUCAUAAGAGCAUUAUCUACUUUCCUUUACAACAAGAUGCAGAUAUAAUGCAUUAAGAAAAUUGCAUGAAAGAAUGACCAUUUUCUAAAACCCGAUAACUUUUAUCCAGUGGCAUUCAAAAUGCAUUUGUCUGUCACAAUCACAGUGCGUUUUGCACAUGUGUAGGUAGCUCCUGGCUUAAUUCGUUUCAGUUACUUGGCACUUGUUUGAGAACACUUUUAAAAACAUCAACUGUAUUUUUAAACAAAGAAAACAUUGUAAACAUGUUCAUACGGGUUUGUUUAGUACCACAAAUGUGGGGAAGAAAUUUGAACUUCCUACCUUAGUGAAAGGAGUGUGCCUUUACCACUAAACUAUGAUCAUUUUGUUUAAGUAAAUGUUUCUUCGAUGUUUUUUCUUGAUUUCAGUUCCUUGUGUUGUUUUAUUUUUAAAAUAAAU
Molecule: long non-coding RNA, 3359 nt
Filed under: Cucumis sativus (cucumber)
Lineage: Eukaryota; Viridiplantae; Streptophyta; Magnoliopsida; Cucurbitales; Cucurbitaceae
Description: long non-coding RNA (CSAT_LNC000734)
Source: RNAcentral